UCAAACUUGGUCAUUUAGAGGAAGUAAAAGUCGUAACAAGGUUUCCGUAGGUGAACCUGCGGAAGGAUCACUAGUGAUUAAACGGGAAGCGUCUUAACUGACCUUCUCACCCUUCACAUCCACAUACACCCUGUGAACUGUUUGGCUUCAACUCUAAGUUGAGCUCUCCUAUCGAUAGAUUAGCAAUAGUCUAACGAGAAGAGGGUUCGUCCCAAGAGCGGGAGUCAUCAUUUUUAUACAUACACAAAGUCUAAUGAAUGUAAACGUUUUAUAUAAACAAAAUAAAACUUUCAACAACGGAUCUCUUGGUUCUCGCAUCGAUGAAGAACGCAGC
This 334-nucleotide unclassified non-coding RNA is filed under the name uncultured fungus. Its description in RNAcentral is "partial contains small subunit ribosomal RNA, internal transcribed spacer 1, and 5.8S ribosomal RNA". The stretch from base 1 to 73 matches the Rfam family "Eukaryotic small subunit ribosomal RNA", at positions 1759 to 1831 of the family's 1831-position model. Lineage: Eukaryota; Fungi. The record is from RNAcentral.